CAAUAGCGUAUAUUAAAGUUGUUGCAGUUAAAAAGCUCGUAGUUGAAUUUUUGCUUGCCGCCGAUGUCGGAACUUCCGUACGUUCGGCGGCGUGCAUCCUUGGGUGGAACCUGUGUGGCAUUAGGUUGUCGUGCAGGGGAUGCUCAUCGUUUACUGUGAAAAAAUUAGAGUGUUCAAAGCAGGCUUACGCCGUUGAAUAUAUUAGCAUGGAAUAAUAAGAUAGGACCUUGGUACUAUUUUGUUGGUUUGCGCACCGAGGUAAUGAUUAACAGGGACAGCUGGGGGUAUUCGUAUUCCAUUGUCAGAGGUGAAAUUCUUGGAUUUCUGGAAGACGAACUACUGCGAAAGCAUUUACCAAGGAUGUUUUCAUUAA
This 373-nucleotide ribosomal RNA is filed under the name uncultured eukaryote. Its description in RNAcentral is "partial 18S ribosomal RNA". It matches the Rfam family "Eukaryotic small subunit ribosomal RNA", at positions 592 to 976 of the family's 1831-position model. The record is from RNAcentral.